Molecule: transfer-messenger RNA, 357 nt
Filed under: Syntrophaceae bacterium
Lineage: Bacteria; Pseudomonadati; Thermodesulfobacteriota; Syntrophia; Syntrophales; Syntrophaceae
Also listed under: 1 other name
Rfam family: transfer-messenger RNA
About the family: Bacterial tmRNA, also known as 10Sa RNA or SsrA, is named for its dual tRNA and mRNA-like properties.
Source: RNAcentral
GGGGGCGCCACGGUUUCGACGGGGAUAAUUGAGGUUGACAGUGGCACGCGGAGGUUUCUACCGGGCUCCUUAAACAGGUAGAAAACAAGUAAACGCCAACGACUACGUUUACGCACAGGCUGCUUAAGCAGCCUCGUCCUGCCGGGUUCUCCUGACGGCUCGAACAGGGCGCAAAAUCAGCCAGGAUAGCCGAUUCCGAUCUCCUGUGGCGGAUGAGGCGAAACCCUACACAGGAUAGCCGACGAGGGAUCCCGUCCCCGGGAGGCCUCCGAGGCGAAUCGUAAAUCGGGGACUAAGCGUGUAGAAGCUGCAGCUGAAGAUUUCCGGACGCGGGUUCGACUCCCGCCGCCUCCACCA